AAAAAAAAAAAAACAACAAAAAAAAGUCAAAACGACGAAAAAGCGUUGAAUACGAAAGACUCACUGUGUACAUUUUUGUGUGUGUUUGUCU
This 91-nucleotide non-coding RNA is filed under the name Sexangularia sp. CB-2014. The record is from RNAcentral. Lineage: Eukaryota; Tubulinea; Elardia; Arcellinida.